GAUGAACGCUGGCGGCGUGCCUAAUACAUGCAAGUCGAGCGAACAGACGAGGAGCUUGCUCCUCUGACGUUAGCGGCGGACGGGUGAGUAACACGUGGAUAACCUACCUAUAAGACUGGGAUAACUUCGGGAAACCGGAGCUAAUACCGGAUAAUAUAUUGAACCGCAUGGUUCAAUAGUGAAAGACGGUUUUGCUGUCACUUAUAGAUGGAUCCGCGCCGCAUUAGCUAGUUGGUAAGGUAACGGCUUACCAAGGCAACGAUGCGUAGCCGACCUGAGAGGGUGAUCGGCCACACUGGAACUGAGACACGGUCCAGACUCCUACGGGAGGCAGCAGUAGGGAAUCUUCCGCAAUGGGCGAAAGCCUGACGGAGCAACGCCGCGUGAGUGAAGAAGGUCUUCGGAUCGUAAAACUCUGUUAUUAGGGAAGAACAAAUGUGUAAGUAACUAUGCACGUCUUGACGGUACCUAAUCAGAAAGCCGCGGCUAACUACGUG
RNAcentral lists this ribosomal RNA (497 nucleotides) under uncultured bacterium. RNAcentral's name for it is "partial 16S ribosomal RNA". It matches the Rfam family "Bacterial small subunit ribosomal RNA", at positions 28 to 507 of the family's 1533-position model. The record is from RNAcentral.